AUGGCGUGGAGCGGCGAGGGGAGGGACUGGGCCGCGGCGGACUCGGCGGCGGAGGGAGGAGCGCGGCUGCGGGCGGGCGGCGAGCGAGGCGCUCAAAGUCAGCCUCGCAGACAUUGCAGCAGAGCCCCGAACUCGGGAGGAGGCGGCGGCGGCGGCGGCGGCGGCGCGGCGGUGGCGGAGGAGGCGGAGGAGGCGGAGGAGGCGGAGGAGGCGGCGGCCGAGGCGGAGGGACGACCCGGCCCCAAGCCCUCCCUCCCGCCAGCGCACGCCUGCCGGUGGCCCCGCGGCCGCCACUGUGCUUGGCAGCACUGCUGCUCUGAGGGAAGAGCUCGCCGGGGCGCCGGGGAAGGACGGGGCGGCGGGGCGCCUUCGUGGAGUGAGCCUGACGGAACCCAGGCUCGGAGCCGCGGCGGCCUCGGGGAGCUUUUGGACUGUGAGCUAUUUCAGAACUCUGUUCUCAGGACCUGUUAUUUUAACAGUCAGGAGAAACACAUCCAGAAGGUGCACACUAGACCAAAAGAGGAACAGGGAAAUCUAAAGACUCCAGAUGACAUCAGCGCUACUUUUCAACAGCCUUCUCCAUUUCCUUUCUCAGAAGUAGAGACAGACCUCAGAGACAGAUGGAUUUGCUGACAAUUUCUGACUUAUCAGCACCCACCUUAUGAAAAUCCUUUAUUUAUGAACAGCUGCUGGAACUGGGUACUCCUUUACCAGUCCAUCCCCAGAAACUUCUCCUCUUCCUUACAGAAACUUCUUGGGAUGAAGUUUAGGAUUUGGAAAUGAGAAGAUUAUUGCAGAUGAUCCAGACAGGUAUGAAAUACAAUCACAAGAGUUCUUAUAGGUGAGAAGCAGAGGGGACAUUUGACACAGGCAGAAGAAGAGAAGGCAAUGUGACCAUAGAGUCAGAAACAGGCAUGCUGCUGCCACAAACCAAGGCAUGUGAGCAGCCACCAGGAGCUGGAGGAAGGGAGGAACAGAUUCUUCCCUAGAGCCUCUGAAGGGAGGGUGGCCCCGCUAACACCUUAAUUUUGGCCCAGUGAAACUGAUUUCAAACUUCUGGUCUCCAGAACAAUGAGAGAAUCAGUUACUGUUGUUUGAAGUCCCCAAGUUUGUGGUGAUCUGUCAUAGCAGCCCUAGGAAAUUUAGAUAUCCCGGGCUACUGUGUAGGAAAUGAAUGAAAGACAAAGGAAUCCAUUUUAAUGUUCUGCAAAUAUCUUCCCAGGGUAGAUGCAGGCUCCA
This 1239-nucleotide long non-coding RNA is filed under the name Zalophus californianus (California sea lion). RNAcentral's name for it is "lncRNA (ENSZCAG00015002442.1)". The record is from RNAcentral. Lineage: Eukaryota; Metazoa; Chordata; Mammalia; Carnivora; Otariidae.